Molecule: ribosomal RNA, 323 nt
Filed under: uncultured eukaryote
Lineage: Eukaryota
Description: partial 18S ribosomal RNA
Rfam family: Eukaryotic small subunit ribosomal RNA
Source: RNAcentral
CCCUUAGAUGUUCUGGGCCGCACGCGCGCUACACUGACGAAGUCAGCGAGCAUGUCCUACGCCGACAGGUGCGGGGAAUCUUGUCAAACUUCGUCGUGAUGGGGAUUGAUUAUUGAAAUUCUUGAUCAUCAACGAGGAAUUCCUAGUAAGCGCAAGUCAGCAGCUUGCGUUGAUUACGUCCCUGCCCUUUGUACACACCGCCCGUCGCUCCUACCGAUUGAAUGCUCAGGUGAGCCAUUCGGACUUUCAUCAUGCUGGUUUCCAGUUUUGAUGAAGGAAAGUCUUGUGAACCUUAUCAUUUAGAGGAAGGAGAAGUCGUAACA